RNAcentral lists this long non-coding RNA (540 nucleotides) under Salvia miltiorrhiza (redroot sage). RNAcentral describes it as "long non-coding RNA (SMIL_LNC008949)". The record is from RNAcentral. Lineage: Eukaryota; Viridiplantae; Streptophyta; Magnoliopsida; Lamiales; Lamiaceae.
UUAGGCCAUCCACUGUGGUGCUACCCCAUAGUGGUGCCACAUGUGUGCCACCUCAACAACUACCUCUACCCUAUAUUUUCUCCACUAUAGCACUAUCUCCUUUUCAACUAUUCAUGGACCCCACUAUCAUUUAUUACUUUUACCACAACAUAUAUAUAUACCACAAAAAAAAAAAAACAAACCAAAACUGCCGAAAGGGGGGAAAAGAGGUGGGCCAGCGCGUCUGCUGUCAUACCCAGGCGCACAGCGGGCGCGUGCAAUGCACGCGCUCCAGCUGUGCGCGCUGGGCCGCGUUUGAACUCCCUCCGCGCGUCUGCUGCAGCUGCUCGUGGGGCCCGCCUGCUGCUGCUACCAAGGUAGCAAAUUUGCUACCUUCUCGUUCUCUGCUACCCCAAUUUCCACCUCCCACUAUGGUUCUCUCCCCUCCACAUAGACAACUACCCCCCCAUAGUGGAUGGCCUUAGUCCCAGUCCCCCAUUGGCGUCAUCUGCCUCUCCGACGCCCUCCUCCGCCGCAUCCUCUCCCUCCCCACCCCGCGCC